UACUCGAGGUGACAUGAUCGCCAUUCGCCUGGAUUCUGAUUCCAAAAGACUGGCUCCUUCCCGUGAUCACCGGUGAGAUCGAUCACGAUCGCUUGCCUGCUUUGCUCGCGGAUUGCAAGCCCCUCGUCACUACUUGGAUAAUGAGUUGCACUCGCUACAAUCCUACAAUACCCGGAUGGGAGACCUUUCGUGGCAACGGGCAACCUCUAGUGCGAGCUAAAUACGACUAAGGAUCACGCUAGUGAAUGCAGCCAGAAUGCAACUGGAAGGGUCGGUGGCAGCCCUCCUUUUAGGGAUAUGUACACUGCUGAUGGUCAUAAGGCAAGGAUGUGGUUUUUUAUGCCAUGUGUGUAAUUCAGCUCCACAUCGUGAUGGUGAAAAUUGCUCCGAUACGUUUACUGAUAGGAAGUUCUUAACAGAUUGUGAUACGUUCUUCCCAAAUGCAACUAUGGGAUCAUGUAGGAAAAUCGUUCAAAAUGUUCAGGGAAAAUCACGAGUAGUUCGCCAGUGUGGAAGGGAGAAGGCUCCUCUGAAAUGUGUCGACAGGGCUGGAACAAAGAACAUUAAGAUCAAAUAUUGCCAUUGCCAAGGGGAUUUCUGCAAUGGUGUGAACACAGUGCAUGGAAAUUCACAGUGGAACAGGUUUUUGUCGAUAUUUUUCACAGGCUUGAUAUGUUUGGCAGUGCCAUGUGUGUAGGCAGAGAUGUAACUUCAGGGAUAUUCAGAUGGAUGGUGAGUGUUGAGGACUUAACUUUGCGGAAGUUCUGGAAAUCAUUAUCCUGAAAGCAUGUAAUCAUCAGUUGCAUAAGAUACGGUUAAACAUACAUCUUUAGGCACCAUUGGACCUCCGAAAUCGUGCGACAGGUUCUUUACCGCUUGUAAUAGUGACUACAUGUGGAUACCAAACGUGUCCGUCACCGUGGAAAUAUGAUAAAUAUACAUUUACUUUGUGGCAGCUAAAGUCAUCUGGUUAAAAUUCUUUGUCCUUAUUUCGAACGAAGCUGGAGGAUGUAAAUGUGAUGGUUCAGUGCACCUUUCUCAUCUUAUUAGCAUUGACCAAGGAGACGAAAACCAAUAAAAGUACACUGGGUCGGAUGCGUACAGGUUUUUUAUCGGUAAUUAGAUUAAGAAGGUUCUGUUCUAAACGGUAUAUCUCUUGUUCAAUACUGAAUCACGUAUCGUGGCAACGGUUCAAUGCUACAUGUAUCAUGAGAAUAACAUCGUAGUGCAUUUUUAUCGAUUAUAUACGAAAUUAACCGGAUUACACGUUGGUGGAAGAGACUAAUGCCAUGCCAAUGGCAAGGUUGGCCUGCUGUGGAUGCUCUUCUGAGGGGCUGAUCAACUGGAGCUAAGACGAAUCAAACCAAACUAAAGAAGCUCACGGCACUUUUAAACGGAAACGAUACUUACAGAAUAUGAGAAAUCGGUGUACGAUAUCAUGGAUUCCGUUUCUCUGGAUUCACCCUUCUACAUGGCAUUGUUAUCAUAAAGUUGCGCCUGCUGUCUAUUGUCAUGGACCAUAAGCCUAUGGGAGACAUUAGAAACCGUCACACCAAGAUCGGUACCGGAUCAGCAAAGAUGAAAUGUUGUGGCUCAUCUUGUCCCAUAUAGUCCCAUUAGAUAAGGUAGCCCAGUACCAAACGGAAAGACAAAGUUCCGAGAUGAGAACCAGUGAUGAGCGCCAUGUGAAUUCGCUUCCUACAAUGACUGCUCAAUAACCAAUCAGACUGGCUCAGUGAGCAAUCGGAUGCCUGCCAUGAUUGGGUUUCUUCCAGCUUGUAACCUAUUCCAUGAUAGUUAUCAAGGGUGAUUCUUGCCAAUGUCAUUGUUAGGAAUGUAGUGAGUAGAAGUGAUAGUUAUAUGUGGCAAUGAAUUUUCACCACACACACACACACACACGUGCAGCUGAAAAGCAAUUCUAGUUUUCUCUGUAAGUUAAAAAACGGGAUGUUCCUUCCCCGUCAUUCGUCCAUUAGUCUCCGCAGAUUGGUUCACACUGAAUCACGUAGGGAUUAUCAGCAGCACGAUGUUCGUCCAGGCGUGGUGUUUAACAUAGAGAAAUCAGGCUUUCUGUAUUUAGCGCAAUCUUAAAUUUACGCUAAGCGCAAUGAAAUGGGGAAAACCCAAAAAGUUUAUUUCUAUGCCUACUCAGAAACACGAUGAAAUGCAUGCAAUCGGGACAUCGGGAACGAUGUCUACUACUUCCGGUUGGGGAGUAUUCAUUAUUUGGCUCCAAGAUAAAAUCAAUAAAGCCACAGAAAAUGCUUUCGAAGUACACUUUCUGAUAAUAAUUUCGAGCCCAUAAGGGGAGGUUUUAGACAGAUAGAUAGAUAGAUAUGAUAAGGAUACGUAGAAUAUCAUUCUCCAAAGCAGACAUGAUCUUCAAGCUCAUAGGUCACCGCCUCAUCACACUAUUAUCACUGCGCCGGAGUAUAAUAGUAAAUCGAUAGGCGCUUAUGGCAAGCUGUGUGUCCAAUAAUCAAGAAAACCUAGUUUUAUUGAAGAAAACCUGGUUUUGUUCAGUGAAACUAGGUUUUUAUGGAAAAAGCAUAGGUUUAUUAUAAAAAACAAAUUUUCUUGAUCAAAAACCAAGUUUUUUGCAAGGAACUAUGUUUUCAAAAAUUAAACCUAUAUGCUUCUUCAAUAAAAACCUAGUUUCGAAGAAGAAAACUUGGUUUAGUGGAAUAGAUCCAGGUUAUAUACUUGUCUUCAUCAAAACCUAGUUUUUAUUGAAAAAGACCAGGUUAUUUCUUAUAAAAAAUAGUUUUCAAUCCAUAUGCUAGAAAACAUAGUAUUUUUACCUCGUCUCCACAGCGGGGCACACAUGGUUCGUCUGGGAGAGAGGAUGGGUUGGAUAUCAGGAGCUUUCAUUACUCCACAUGCGCAAUGAAACAAAAUGCAUGUCAAGUUUAUACGUUGUAUGUUGAAUUAUAACAUCAUUCUUAUAAAUCAAUCAUCCUUUGAAAUCGAAUUUGGAAAAUGUUACCUUGAGAAGCAGCAGAACAAAAGUACCAAAGGCUCCUGCGCAUGGCCCCCUGCGCAUGCUCGGAUCCUGGACAACCCGGGUAAAUCGAACCUCGAUUAGUUUCAUGGAAGAAAACCAUGUUUUUUUUCAAUGAAACUAGGUUUUUAUUGAAGAAAACCUGGUUUUCUUCCAUAGAACUAGGUUAUAUUGAAGAAAACAUAGUUUUUAUCUUUUUUUAAACUUAGUUUUCUUGAAAGAAAACCUAGUUUUCUUCCAUAUAACCUAGUGGUAUAGAAGAAAACCAUGUUUUCUUCAAUAUAAACCUAGUUUCAUUGAAAAAAACCAGAUUUUCUUCCAUAAAACGAAGUGUUAAAAGAAAAAAAACCAGGUUUUCUUCAAUAAAACUAGGUUUUCUUAAUUAUUGGACACACGGCUUGCAAUAGGCGCUAUCUAUGAGAUGAUAAUAUUAUAACUACCCUGGUUCCCUGUCCCGUUUAUACUUUUUCCAUGUAAUUUUUAGUGACAGAAAAUAAUAAUAUUGCUCCCGAGGCGUAAUUUACGCUAAAUAGGCGUAAUAUUGCGCUAAAUACAAUAAGCCGAGAAAUCAUGUAUUUUUCCAGGUGUCACGCAGCCGCCAAUGCAAAUGCCAACUCUGUACCCCUUUAUCGGCCUGGUAAGGUGGUCGAUACUUUAGUAGUCCUUUUGGACUAUUUCUAUGGUCUGCAUUCAACACUUAAUGCACAGAGGACAAAAAAUGAAAAUGUCAGCACUAUUCCCAAAAUCGUUCAUUGAUCACAAGUAUAACUUUCUACAUAAAAUGAUAGGUCGACAAAUAUUUUUCUUAUCUACAAAAAUCCAGCAGGUCGAAAAAAAAAUUUGUUAGCUCUGAAUUCGACACUAGAUUAGUGGUGAUUCCUAACGGGUCUAACCGAUUUAGCAUAUAACGCUGCAUCAUGAUCUCACAUCAAAUAUUAACAAACGGACACGUAAGGAAUUGAGGCCAUCGACCCCCCCCCCCAUUAAAGCUGUCUCGUGGGGGUCGAUGUUAUAGACAGUGUAUUGGGUUUGGCCGGACUUCUUUUAACUGCGGGGUAAAGGGCAAAAUAACGUAAUGAGGACUGAUUCCGCUACAGCGAAAAAACCGCCGCGUCUUGCCGUUUACGGAAGGAUAUAAAAAGCAAAAAAUAUAAAAUUCAGGCGGCAAGCUUUUUCAGUGGAAUCAGUCCAUUAGUGUUAAUCUUAGCCUAAUAUAACCGAAGCCUGCUCUGGGACAUACAUGUGUACGACCUCAGCGCAUCAAGCGUACUUCCUGUCCAAGCAAAAAUAUGCUUAACUGCAAGUAGAUCGUACUGUUGAGUUUGAAGUAGUUAGAUAUUGUAAUGUACAACAUUGUUAUGAAACAAUAUGUGCACGUCCCAAAGCCUCCGCAUACACUGUAUGCUUGCGUCACGAAACAACAUGUAGGUAACGAUGUCUCCAGCGUCACGUGUCGCUAAUAUGUUGCAACAUAUCAACUCUGUUGUGGUUUGAUAAGGUGAUUCUAAGCCUAAAAUCCAUCUGAUUCAUUAUUUCUUCCGCCAGUAAUUUUGGAAUUUCGGAAACUUUAAAUAAUGAAAUAAUGUAUCACUGCACCGUCUUAGUUAAUACUCAAAACUCGCCUAUCUAAGACCAGUUCAUUAUUUUGAGGCAUGACCUUCCCCAGUAUCAUAUGCUCAGGCCACGAUUCCUUCAUACUGAUUGGCUCACACUAACAUGUUCUUCAGGUUGUGGUCGGUUAAUGGACAGUGGUUGGCAUUGGGAAUGAACUGAUCACUUGUGACCUAACCACUUAUAAUUCUCAGUGGUUAUGGUGUGGUCAAUCAGCUUCCCUGUCUUUUAACCUACUGACAACGAAUCUUCAAUAAAAGAAAUUGCAUUGAUAAUAAAGUGAAAUUCUUAAUGGCCUGCCAUUCUGAACUUUUACUAUGAAAUUGAUGCAAAGGCGAAAGGCAUUACCAUUGAAACAUUUGGUGUCACCCAGGCACCCAUUGUCCACCCCAUUGAACAAUGUCAAAUGGCAUCUAACGACAAUCCACAUAUUAUCUAACGGGGUUCGGCUUGCAAAUCCAGAAGCUGUCUUAGAUCAGUCUAGAGUAUUACACACAGUCAUUGAGAGCUCAUGCGAAGAGAAAUUACACGAUCAAAUGUCAUUCUUGUGUCUCGUACAGAAAGCAUCUGCACCAGAACCCCUCAUGCCCAUUCUGGCGUUACCAUGGAGACGUAAACUGAUAAAUAUGACAAGCGCAUCUAAUUCACUGGCCUUGCUGCCUCAUGCGUGGGCAAUGUAUAUAUAUACAUGUAUAUAUCUCCCGUAUAAGACAGGACGCCUUGCGAGUGGUAUUAUUUAGACCUCAACACGAUGACCCGCUCAUUGACGUUCACAUUUUCUGUCACAUCUAGAACCCCCUCUCCACACAAGACCUCUGUGAUCUCCCAACUGAGCCAGCCCGUCAUUUUAGUCUCCAGACAUUUUCCAUUAAACUCUCUUUAUAUACAGGGUAAAGCUAAGCGUGAAAUUUUCGCAAAAGGCUAACAUUUGGCGAAUUUGCUUAAUGUCGCCUGGCGAAAGACUAAAUAUUGCCUGCGCUGCCGAAAUUUAAUGGUUUAUGCAUUAGGGUUAACACCUUUAAAAGGGUUCAUCUUUGAAAAUCGCAGAAUUAAAGGCUCGCAAAAAUCUCGCCGGCAGUUUACGUUGAGGUACCGUAAUGUUAUGACAUUUAUGGCGAAGGGAAAAUCUGUUUCAAUGGUGAUGCUAUCUAUUAACAAAGAUAGGAAUCUCUUGUCCGACGACUAUCCAUGGAUGUAAACGAAAGAGUAAUAAUGUAUACCACCGAUUCUCUGAUUUUCAAAGGCCAAUUACGCUCCUCAAUAUCGUUUGACAAGUGGCGAUUAUGAAAUUUUAGAUUCGACUUGAGAUUCUUUAAUUACUGAGUGCAUAAACAGUAAGGCAAGGAUCGUAUAUGCGAGUUGUCGUAAUUUCUACAUCUCGUCGAGCUAUAUUUACGAGUUGCCUGUCGAUUUAGCUACGAUGUAUACGUCUUUCAAAAAAUAAGUUUGCGCAAAAAGCGCACCUCGGCGCAUAUCGUUGUUAAAAUCAAAAAUUAUUUCCCAACAUGCUCUGUUAAUUGUCUAGAUACUAGGUGAAAAUCGGUGAGAUUUCAGAUGUCCAACGUUUUUAUGCUGUAGCCAAGGAGGAUACCGCGGUGACGUCACGGCUUUUCCAAGAUGGCGCUGCAUAUUGUAAACAAACUCGAUCCACGGCCAAGGGAAAAUCAAGUCAUCAAAUAAAGUUAGAUUUUUCGCAUCAAAUCAGAGUUAUUAGGAUUUUUCUACUAAGAAAUAAGUCUUCAAACAAUAGGUUAUCAUUUGAUUAAUGAAAAGUGCUGUUUUGAUGGGGAAAAAUAGGGUUUUUAAAACCAAAUAGCCGGGCACCGAUCUUCCAAAAUUAGCGAUGGUUUCAAAACAGUCUCCCAGAUAUGGGGCAAUCUCUUCAUUAUCAUAAUGGGAUUUGGAGGCAUGUUUACAGAUUUUACAAGUUCGAGACCUGUAGGACCUAAAACUCGCAUAGAUCCCCAUAGAUCUCCUCUAUUUGUCGAGUUAGCGCCCCUGUAAGAUCAUGCAUUUUCGGACACUAGAACGAAAUCUUCCUGCGGAUAUCGCGGUUUCGGUGAUGAUUUAGGGAGAAAUUGACUGUUCUUAGAGUUGUAUGGGACACAAAUGAGUUCAUACUUCAUGAAUACAUGAAUAUAUUUUGAUAUGGGCGGGCUUCUAAGUCAAAACAAUAACAAACUCAACUGCAUCUCUACCGUGUAUCGCGUAGUGCAUUGUCUAGUGUAUUUCGUAGUGUAUUUUAGCGGAACCAUUAUUUCCGCACUUUGGCCACGCUAAACGUCUUUUUUAUUCGUGGAAGUUAAUCUGCUCUGUAAAUUUUAUUUUACGCAGGAAGAAUCCAUACUAGGUAUUGCAAUAUUUAAUGUCUAUUGGUGUUUUUGUGUACAGGAGCGCACCAGACAGUGAGGCGUGGAGAUGCGUUCAGUGCUGGUGCUGUCAGUAGACUGAAUCUGAUUGGCCAUAGCGAUCAGUAAUAUGGGUCGUGAUCACGUGAUGUGACGUCACCGCGGUAUCCUCCUUGUGAUGUAGCUUACAUUUUGGGUAUCCGGCCAUACAUAUAUGCCGGCACAGCUUAAUUAAGAAAAUCGGGCCAUCGCCCGCAAAUUCGACUAUGCCAGUUUUCUGGCAUCAUAGCCGUAAACUUAAUGGGGCGAUAGCCCGAUGACGACAACUCGUACUCAUAGGAUCCUUGAUUAACUGAGAUAUCUCCGCUAAGAUAAUGCGCGUCGGCGGAGAACAGAGGCACGGAUUCGCCGCCAGGUUUUGAGGUAUGGGCUUGAUGGAAAAAGUACAAAAAUAUUCAAUUCGGUUGUCAUAGAAAUCCGCAAAGAACUUCGCAAGAUUCUUCUCUGCAUUUCAUUCAUCGAGUACGACGGCCAUCGGAUCUAAAAAUCAAACUGUGGUUGGACUGAAGGAAUGCUCGUCUGUGACUGUAAUAACUUAUGAACUGUUGUCUGUUACAUGAUGUUAACGUUGUUAUUUCGUACUAUGAAACGUACUGAAAUUGUUUAGGUGCCUAUACAAUUUUUACAGCCAUGUACAAUGAAUGUAUACGUAUAAUGAUAAUAUAAUAAUAGAAUGCAAUAAAUUGUA
This is a long non-coding RNA of Lineus longissimus, 7708 nucleotides long. RefSeq lists it as uncharacterized. Lineage: Eukaryota; Metazoa; Nemertea; Pilidiophora; Heteronemertea; Lineidae. The transcript has 3 exons. The record is from RefSeq and is a predicted model, not a curated record.